This 275-nucleotide unclassified non-coding RNA is filed under the name Hevea brasiliensis (rubber tree). The record is from RNAcentral. Lineage: Eukaryota; Viridiplantae; Streptophyta; Magnoliopsida; Malpighiales; Euphorbiaceae.
AAACUUAAGGCUCUUCUGAUGCUAAGUGACAGAGACAAUGAUAAUGUUGUGUAAGGACCAUAUGGAGGGACCCUACUUAGAUUUUGCAGGUAAUAAAAACCAACCAUUGGAAUUUUUUACUGUAACUAGACAGUGUUUAUAAUUAAGAUUGUAAAGAGCAUUCCAAGAACAGAAUUGUAAAUGUCAAACAUUUUUGCUGAAUAUUCCAAGCAAUAAUCUUGCUUUCCACAGCAUAUACAAUUCAUCAAAUUGAUGAAUUUUUCCUUAUUCAUGUG